UAUUCUGGUGUCCUAGGCGUAGAGGAACCACACCACACCAACCCAUCCCGAACUUGGUGGUUAAACUCUACUGCGGUGACGAUACUUUAGGGGAGGCCCUGCGGGAAAAUAGCUCGGCGCCAGGAU
RNAcentral lists this ribosomal RNA (126 nucleotides) under Hedysarum taipeicum. Lineage: Eukaryota; Viridiplantae; Streptophyta; Magnoliopsida; Fabales; Fabaceae. The record is from RNAcentral.